UACGGAGGGAGCUAGCGUUGUUCGGAAUUACUGGGCGUAAAGCGCGCGUAGGCGGUUAUUCAAGUCAGAGGUGAAAUCCCGGAGCUCAACUCCGGAACUGCCUUUGAAACUAGAUAACUAGAAUCUUGGAGAGGCGAGUGGAAUUCCGAGUGUAGAGGUGAAAUUCGUAGAUAUUCGGAAGAACACCAGUGGCGAAGGCGACUCGCUGGACAAGUAUUGACGCUGAGGUGCGAAAGCGUGGGGAGCAAACAGG
This 253-nucleotide ribosomal RNA is filed under the name uncultured bacterium. RNAcentral's name for it is "partial 16S ribosomal RNA". It matches the Rfam family "Bacterial small subunit ribosomal RNA", at positions 524 to 776 of the family's 1533-position model. The record is from RNAcentral.